UCAGUAACACGUAGUCAACAUGCCCAGGGGACGUGGAUAACCUCGGGAAACUGAGGAUAAACCGCGAUAGGUCACUACUUCUGGAAUGGGUAAUGACCCAAACCUAUAUGGCCCCUGGAUUGGACUGCGGCCGAUCAGGCUGUUGGUGAGGUAAUGGCCCACCAAACCUGUAACCGGUACGGGCUCUGAGAGGAGGAGCCCGGAGAUGGGCACUGAGACAAGGGCCCAGGCCCUAUGGGGCGCAGCAGGCGCGAAACCUCUGCAAUAGGCGAAAGCUUGACAGGGUUACUCUGAGUGAUUUCCGUUAAGGAGAUCUUUUGGCACCUCUAAAAAUGGUGCAGAAUAAGGGGUGGGCAAGUCUGGUGCCAGC
RNAcentral lists this ribosomal RNA (370 nucleotides) under unidentified archaeon. RNAcentral's name for it is "bacterial SSU rRNA". It matches the Rfam family "Archaeal small subunit ribosomal RNA", at positions 90 to 462 of the family's 1478-position model. The record is from RNAcentral.